This 560-nucleotide long non-coding RNA is filed under the name Haliotis rubra (blacklip abalone). Its description in RNAcentral is "uncharacterized LOC124276664, transcript variant X3". The record is from RNAcentral. Lineage: Eukaryota; Metazoa; Mollusca; Gastropoda; Lepetellida; Haliotidae.
UUUGUGCUAAUGUUUUCAGGGUUUGACUUGUGAUAGCUUAAAUGAAAGCCGAGGAACAUGGAGCGCUGCCACCAGCUGUUUGUUACACCUCCUCGACACACAGCUGAGUACCGGGCACAUCUGGAGCAGUCGCCGCUGUAGCACUUGAGGGGUUGCUUCGAAGCACUCUUGGUCAUGCUUGCUGGUUGAAGUGGGGACGCAGCAGCCUCACUGAAGUAGAGAUGCCAUCACAAUCAGGUGUUGACGACAGCCCAGUUCCAUCCAGCCUUGACUUGGUGACCAGGGAGAAGUCUUCUGGACUCAACCUAGUGACUGUCCUGGGUAUCUGGGGUGGAGAGGCACUUUCAGACUCUUCCGAUUCAAGGGGUUGGAAAAAGUUGGAAUGCACGCAACCCUCUCCGAGAAUGGGGAUCGAUUUAGUGUCCUAUCGUGCAAAAAUUGGAACUUUCACUCAACCAAAUAAAUGCAACAGGUCCGUAAAUGGUUUCCAACUCCUGGAAGAAACGUUUCAAGGACUAUGCGUCUCCUGUUGCUGCUACUGACAUUGCUGACCCGCGUGU